CCGAACGGCCCCAUUGGGCCUUCAACCCCAAAAAACUGUGGAAGCAAAUCGUGCUUCGGCGCCUCUGGCGUCGUAUUUAUGCAAUCGACUGUCUGUGUCUGAAUUAAAUCUAGAAUUA
This 118-nucleotide unclassified non-coding RNA is filed under the name uncultured Archaeorhizomyces. RNAcentral describes it as "sequence contains ITS1". The record is from RNAcentral. Lineage: Eukaryota; Fungi; Ascomycota; Archaeorhizomycetes; Archaeorhizomycetales; Archaeorhizomycetaceae.